UACGUAGGAGGCAAGCGUUGUCCGGAAUUACUGGGCGUAAAGCGCGUGUAGGUGGUGGGACAAGUCUGCUGUGAAAGCGCCUGGCUUAACCGGGCGAGGUCGGCGGAAACUGUCCGACUCGAGGACGGUAGAGGGGGGUGGAAUUCCCGGUGUAGUGGUGAAAUGCGUAGAGAUCGGGAGGAACACCUGUGGCGAAGGCGGCCCCCUGGCCGGCCCUGACACUGAGACGCGAAGGCGUGGGGAGCGAACGGGG
RNAcentral lists this ribosomal RNA (253 nucleotides) under uncultured bacterium. Its description in RNAcentral is "partial 16S ribosomal RNA". It matches the Rfam family "Bacterial small subunit ribosomal RNA", at positions 524 to 777 of the family's 1533-position model. The record is from RNAcentral.